ACGAACGCUGGCGGCGUGCCUCAUACAUGCAAGUUGAGCGCUGAAGGUUGGUACUUGUACCGACUGGAUGAGCAGCGAACGGGUGAGUAACGCGUGGGGAAUCUGCCUUUGAGCGGGGGACAACAUUUAGAAACGAAUGCUAAUACCGCAUAAAAACUUUAAACACAAGUUUUAAGUUUGAAAGAUGCAAUUGCAUCACUCAAAGAUGAUCCCGCGUUGUAUUAGCUAGUUGGUGAGGUAAAGGCUCACCAAGGCGAUGAUACAUAGCCGACCUGAGAGGGUGAUCGGCCACAUUGGGACUGAGACACGGCCCAAACUCCUACGGGAGGCAGCAGUAGGGAAUCUUCGGCAAUGGACGAAAGUCUGACCGAGCAACGCCGCGUGAGUGAAGAAGGUUUUCGGAUCGUAAAACUCUGUUGGUAGAGAAGAACGUUGGUGAGAGUGGAAAGCUCAUCAAGUGACGGUAACUACCCAGAAAGGGACGGCUAACUACGUG
Molecule: ribosomal RNA, 496 nt
Filed under: uncultured bacterium
Lineage: Bacteria
Description: partial 16S ribosomal RNA
Rfam family: Bacterial small subunit ribosomal RNA
Source: RNAcentral